CAGUCGCCACGGUAAUACGUAGGUCCCGAGCGUUGUCCGGAUUUAUUGGGCGUAAAGCGCGCGCAGGCGGAUCGGUCAGUCUGUCUUAAAAGUUCGGGGCUUAACCCCGUGAUGGGAUGGAAACUGCCAAUCUAGAGUAUCGGAGAGGAAAGUGGAAUUCCUAGUGUAGCGGUGAAAUGCGUAGAUAUUAGGAAGAACACCAGUGGCGAAGGCGACUUUCUGGACGAAAACUGACGCUGAGGCGCGAAAGCCAGGGGAGCGAACGGGAUUAGAUACCCCGGUAGUCCCUGUCUCUUAUCAC
This 301-nucleotide ribosomal RNA is filed under the name uncultured bacterium. RNAcentral describes it as "partial 16S ribosomal RNA". It matches the Rfam family "Bacterial small subunit ribosomal RNA", at positions 509 to 809 of the family's 1533-position model. The record is from RNAcentral.